UCCAUUUCCUACUGUGACAUCGCGUGCUAUUUGUAACCCGAACUGUCAAAUCAUGUGAAGCGCAUAUAUAUAUUUCGCCUAUUACAUUACGUGAAAAAAAAAAAUUCACAUUCGCUAUUGUGUGCUUAAUUAUUCGUUGGUCUUUUUAGUGAAGUGCUAAAUAAUGUUUGAGUUGCCAGCAGAAUUAACUGCUAAGCCAUUAGCUCUGAUAGGGCUGACAGGACUGGAUGUCGCGAAUCCAGUACAUCGUUCUAUCUGGGAUGCAUUUAGCAACAAUCGUAGACUAGACUGUGCAGCUGUUCAAUUUAAAUUGCUCAGCUUGUCCCAUGAAUUUCCCACUGUUAAACCCAAGCGUAGCUCGUAUGAAUGGUAUAUUCCCAAAGGAAUAUUAAAAAGAAACUGGAUGAACAAAUAUCUUAAUGAUAUUCCUUCUGUAGUUGUUGUAUUCUACGAUUUGGACUGGAAUGAUCCUUUGUGGAAUGAGAAGAAAAUGGAAUGUGCUUCCAGAGUGCAGUCCCUGAGAGCUGCACUUGAUGGAAGAAGUACAAAACUAGCUGUGGUAUUGAUACAGCGUGCUGUUCAACCGCUUCCUGGUUCUGAAGAUGUAGUUGCAACCGAGCGUGCAACAGCACUAUGCGGAGCUUGCGAUUUGACAGCAAAAUUAUUAUAUGUUCUUCCACACGCUGAUCAUCUGUUAGGAUAUAUAUCCAGACUAGAGACGGCAUUCUACGAUUUGGCGCAAAACUUUUAUUAUCAUGAAUAUAAGAACGUGAAGAGUCAUCGCGAUCAGCUCACUAAAAAUGUUCAUCAAUAUUUGUUUGUUCGUCAUCAGUUUAAAAUGGCAUUCUUAAACGAACUUAAGCAAGAUUUGCAUCUUGCUCAAAAGCAUUAUAUGCAGGCUUAUCAUAAUUUACUAGAAACAAGAAUGACAGAUACAAACGCGGUAGAAAUAAAAACUGUUGCUGGGUUUAUAAAUUAUAAGUUGUGCAGGAUAAUGUUUUGUUUGAAUCUUCCAAAAGAUGCUAUUUCUCAAUUUAGGCUCCAUACAGAAAGAUUCAAGUUAAAAACUGGUCCGAAGGAACUUAUGUUUGAACACCACGCUUGGAUGAGUAGCCAGUAUUCCACAUUUGCAGAAUUAUUUGACGAAGCUAUUCGUCAGGGAUUGCCCGCUGUUCAAACUCAACAUCCUGGAUACUAUUUUCAAUUAGCUGCCAAUCACGCAGGUUUACGACAGUCCGCGUGCAAAGAACUCUGUCAAAAUAUAAAUAGUUAUCCAGAUCCAGAUCCGUUAGUGGGAGAAGAGAAACUUGAAUUUUAUGGACAACGGCCGUGGAGGCCCGGAAAAUUAAGUGCGGAACCUGCAGAUACAGCUAGAGAAGCUAUUGGCAUACAGGCUUUGCAAUACAGAGAGAAAACAGUUAAUCAUUCCAUGAUCAUUAUUGGAUUAUUGGGAAACGCGAUAUCGCAAUUCAAAGUGUACCGUUGCCCUAGAAUGCGACGAUUGUUAGUUGUGCAAAUGGCAGAGGAGUACUUCAAUGCUCGGGAUUACGGCAAGGUCCUCACAUUAUUGAUGCACAUGUUGUGGGAAUAUCAUGGGGAACGAUGGCCGGUCUUGCUCACGGACAUCUUGAAGAACGCGUUGAGAGCCGCGUAUCUGUCCACCAGCAUUCAAGAUUAUCUCACUUUAGCUCUCGAAGCACUAGGACCUUCAACUACGUUUUCUGAGGAGCGACAAGCGUUUAUUUACAAUAAUGUUACAAAUAUACUACAGAGAAAGCCACCGAAUCCAGAGCCGGAUUUGCCAGACGACGUUAAACAUCUUGCGAUGGAGAAGUGGAUGUUGGAACUGAGCCGACCCGAGCCAAGUAGUUUUACAAUCGAUGACAAUAACAUGACAUUCGUCGAGCUUAAAGCGCGGUUUUUGCAGCGAACGUAUGCGGUAAACACACCGGUGACGGUGGAAGUUAUUGUAAGAAACUGUUACUGCGGCAUCAUUGAAUUUUCUAACGUGUUAAUAACGAUCAGUGGUCCGGGAUACAAUGCCGAGAUUCCAGUUAGUAAUGCUCAACAAUCCGAUCUGAUCUUUCAAGCAAAAGAAACAAAGAAGUUUUACUUUAAAUUUAGGGCGCCUCAUCAGAACGACGGUGUAGAAAUUCGCGUCAGCACGGUCUCGUUGCAAAUAGGUGAUAAGGCGCGUUGCUGCAUCAUAUUGAGAUUCUCAGCGAUGGGUAGAGAAACGAGUUUGUUAGAUCGUUUAUAUCCUGAAAUACAGCAUCUUCGUGGAGGCGAGUUUGAGGCAAUAAGACCAUUAAUUCACGCGGAAAUCAAGCAGGAAGAAUCAAGUUUAAAUAUAAACACAGAAUCUAAUAAUCCCGCGCUCUUAGGAGAGUGGCUGCCCAUCACAAUAUCUUUAUCAGCCACCGAGAAUGUUAAUGCAAUUUGUUUACAUGUGAUACUCGUGUCUGACGGUAGUAACGAUCAAUCGACUGAAUUAAGCAUAAACAUGUUGAAUAAGGAAUCGAAAGUAUCGAUUCUUGUUGGUGACAUGUCAAAGGGCUCCUCGGCCAAACACACUGUUUACAUUAGAGCACAUAAAAUAGGCGACAGAAAUAUCGUAAUAAAGGCGGAUUAUUCCAGAACCGAACAAAUCAGAGGAAGCAAAGAAUUGACGUAUACGUUAGCAGUUAAAAAACCGUUCGAAGUCGCGACGCAAUUUUACACCACGUUGUUCGAGCCGCUGACAAAAGGAUUUGUUAACGAACCCUUCAUCAUUAUGCCUCAUAUCACAUGUGUUUCUCCGUGGCCCAUAAACAUUCUAAGCACAACUAUAGAAUUGGCAGAUUCCAUUGAAAGAGAGAACAGUUCCGACAAUCAGUCCAUUUUAACGGGUAUUACAUUAUGCGACGGCGAGACAGGGACUGACGCUUAUUGUUUGAUUCCAAAAACAGGCGGCGAGCAGCCUAUGAGUACCGGAGUGUAUACUAUUAGAUGGAAAAGAGCAAACGAUGAAUCCGCAUUAGAGACCAGUAGCAGUGUGACUUUAGCUCCUUUGCUGGUCGAGAACACGGUGAUCGGAUUGGAAGCCAAAAUGCCAGCGCACGGAUGGGUUCGCACACCAUUUUGUAUAUCGUACUUUAUAAAGAAUCAUUCCGAUUAUCUCAUCACUCUACGCCUGGCUAUGGAAGGCAGCGACGCUUUUAUGUUUGCCGGACAAAAGCAAAUUGAUAUUUACGUAUUGCCCAGAAACGUUCGAAAGAUCGACUGGGUUUUACGACCGUUGGUGGCCGGUUUUGUUGCGCUUCCAACUCUAUCGUUAACUGCACCUGCAGAUGAAGAACACAAGCUGGGCAAGGGACGAUUGUCAGAGGUGGUCGAGCGUUCGUUGCCGAGUCACAUAUACAUACUGGUAAGUGAAGCCAAAAUCGCAGUCGUUAGAAGAAUAAGCAAAAUAAUUGGAAUUGAUUUUUGUAAAGAAAAGAACGUUAUGUAUCUUCUCCCAUCAAAAACUGUAUUAUACAAGAUUUAAGCAUAAAUUUUUUGCACGAAUAUUUGUAGGAGUCGUGAAUGUAUCAUAUUCAUUAGAAAAUUGUGAGUAUAGAUUUAUUAAGAAAAUAUAUAAUUUAUUUUUAAACUGUUCCCUAUUUCUCAUGUGUAUAAAGAGAAUUUAGAAGAAAAUAUUCUAAUACUGUACAAAACGCGGUGUUUAAAUUUUUAACCUCUCGAUCCUCAUUAGGCCGAGUCUACAAUGGUGUCACGAUCAUUGCAGAUCCGACCUUACCUUGUGCGUUACCGUCACUUUGGGUUACCGUAGAAACCAAUUUACUCUACACCGGUAAACGUGUGAACUUUUUCCUUUUUCGUAAAAUUUAUAUUUCUUUUGUAUUAAAAAGUAAUUUCAAUCAACACAAAAAAUCGUAAAACAAAUUUGGUCGUUAGUGUAUAUUGCACUGUCAAUUGUAUGGUAGACUUAUUGCAAAAUGGCAAAGAGUGGCAACAUUGGAACUGUUUUCGACGAGUACCUGCAAAAAGAACAGCAAUUCGAACAAGAAGUAACAGAACGUAAUAAAUUACGUAAUGAAAUUCGCAAUAGGAAUCAUGUUAACGUUUCCGAUUCAUCAUCACGUCUUCCUAUAAAUUUGGAAAAAUCUCGCAUUCGCAAUCAAGCUCUUCUAAAGGAUUUGGAGAUGUCUAGAGCACGUCUGAGAACUUACGCAUCUUACACACCUACCGACGCGGAAUUGCAACAAAUCUCGUUGGCCUAUCAGAGUUAUCUUCAGAGAAAGAUCCGAAGCGCGGAAUCUUGAUGAGAUCACAGUAUUUUCACGUUAUCGAUUAUAUAUAUAUAUAUAUAUAUACAUAUAUUUGACCGACGAUCGUUGAUUGAUCAACCUGAUAACUCGAGCCGAACGAACAAACUUCGAAAAUAAAAAGUUUGUUGAUCGUUGGGAUCGAUGAAUCGGGUUGAUUAUUAUAUUUGCGUGUCUCUUUUGCCGCAACAGCCUCACGUCCACGCGCGUCAAACGAAACGAGAACAAACUUGUGUGCAAAUAUCGCAAAGACAAAUUUUUGAUUUCACGAGAUAUUCUUAUCUCGCACACUUUUAUUUACGCACUUCCAAACGGGCUCGAAUUAUUUUCAAGAACAGUCGUUAUAUUUUUCAUAAAGCAACGGCUGAUAAAAUGUAAUUGUAUAACAAAUCGAUUGUAACUGUCACUAUGUGAAUAUGCAUAUAACAAGAAAAGCGCAUCAUCGAUGUAGCAAUAUUGUGUAUCAAAAAAUAAUGUCAACGUGUAAUCUCUCUCUACUGUAAAUGAACGUACACUCGCAGUUGACUACUUGCUUUCUUGCGGAGUAUCAACUACACAAACAGAAAUCUAACGAAGCUAAUUUACACGCUAAUCUACCUAGCUCAAAGGUCUCGGGAACUGAUUACAAUCGCAAAUGUGUUAUUUUUUUCUUAAAAACGCACACGACGGUCUAAACUUACCGUAUGAUUGAAUUUUGAUGCACGCUUUUUUUUUAUAUUCGGCAUCGUCUAAGGAAGCUUCUUGCGGAAUUAUGCGCAAAGAGACACGCGCGUAAAGAUGUGUCAAGGCAAGUGGCGCGAGGUGCUGUCUACCUGUGUGUCCAUGUAUGCCAUAUUCAUAUUCAUUUUCUGUGACCGCACUAUUAUCGCCGAUAAUUACUGGCGCGCAUAACAUGCACACACGAUAGGACGCGGCCACGUAUUCAGAAGUCACCUGAUAAGAAGUCCAGGCCAAUAAUUCGCGCCGGGAACUCGCAAUUUUUAUUUUACACCUUUCUGUCUCUUGCGCAAAAUGCGUUAAUAUGACUUCACUCUUGAACUUCGUGGAUUAUUUUUUUUUUCUUUUUGCCUCUUCGACCAACUGUUACAAUUCGCGACGAGAUUGAUUUUAUGAUUCUCGGGAAGAGCCGAUUGUCGAGUAGCUUCACGAAUUUUUCAAAAUUGUACAAUUUACGCAAAAAACUACGCGACGCGUCCUUGUUCUAUUGUUCUACUUACCUUUUGCAUGCGUAAAAAAUAUAACAACAAAAAAUAUUAAUAAGUAAACUACUUGUAAUUAUAGUUCUGCACACGGCAAUAAAUUUAGAAAUACUGAGAGAUACGCAAAGUGAGAUGUGACAAAUGCGUUUUCAACGUUUAAUCUUGUACGUGGCACGUAACUAUCAGCAGCUGAAUAAACGAAUUAACGUUGUGACUCUUUUGACCAUUGCCAAUACUCGCGGCCAUCUGUAUCAACAGCCUCAAUAUCUCGAGGAUAUACCGUUUUCUUUCGCAGUUUGGUCAAAGACCCCGCGCAACGGUUCCACACGGAUGUAUAUAUUCAAAAAAAAUAAUCCUCGCGAAAUUUUCGAGUACAUUACUUUCCGACACUUUACGCAGCACAAUAAAAAGCAUUAUAUGGCGUAUUAAAUUUAUCUAUCUGGAACGUCGCAGAUCACGUUUCUAAACCAAUAAAAUCCGUUUUAUGAAAUUCAUAAAAAACAAAAAAAGAAAAUAUUGCGCUUCACAGCGCUUAUCGUUCGCCUGAUUGCAUAAGUAUAAACCGGUAU
RNA transcript from Pseudomyrmex gracilis, 6075 nucleotides. It is a transcript of the gene named trafficking protein particle complex subunit 11, with no coding region annotated. The record is from RefSeq and is a predicted model, not a curated record. NCBI's taxonomy places the organism in Eukaryota, Metazoa, Arthropoda, Insecta, Hymenoptera, Formicidae. The transcript has 22 exons.